RNAcentral lists this ribosomal RNA (449 nucleotides) under uncultured bacterium. RNAcentral's name for it is "SSU rRNA". It matches the Rfam family "Bacterial small subunit ribosomal RNA", at positions 26 to 518 of the family's 1533-position model. The record is from RNAcentral.
AGGACGAACGCUGGCGGCGUGCUUAACACAUGCAAGUCGAGCGGGCGUAGCAAUACGUCAGCGGCAGACGGGUGAGUAACGCGUGGGAACGUACCUUUUGGUUCGGAACAACCCAGGGAAACUUGGGCUAAUAACCGGAUAAGCCCUUACGGGGAAAGAUUUAUCGCCGAAAGAUCGGCCCGCGUCUGAUUAGCUAGUUGGUGAGGUAAUGGCUCACCAAGGCGACGAUCAGUAGCUGGUCUGAGAGGAUGAUCAGCCACAUUGGGACUGAGACACGGCCCAAACUCCUACGGGAGGCAGCAGUGGGGAAUAUUGGACAAUGGGCGCAAGCCUGAUCCAGCCAUGCCGCGUGAGUGAUGAAGGCCCUAGGGUUGUAAAGCUCUUUUGUGCGGGAAGAUAAUGACGGUACCGCAAGAAUAACGCCCGGCUAACUUCGUGCCAGCAGCCGC